CUUGCAAACAUUUCCUUGUUAACCAGAGAAUUAAAUGAAGUAAUUAUAGGCUAAGAGUACUCAUAUCAGUCUAUCACUUUAGCCUAUUUCUCGAACAGCUAUACCAAUCUGUAGAGGUUUCGAAUGGUCUGGGUAAACGUGCCAUGGGCAACCUAGGACCCUUGUUAAACUGUAAGUGGUUUAACAGUGAUUCAAGAGAUACAGACAGGAUACUUCAG
Molecule: non-coding RNA, 218 nt
Organism: Pelobates cultripes (western spadefoot toad)
Lineage: Eukaryota; Metazoa; Chordata; Amphibia; Anura; Pelobatidae
Source: the annotation of a GenBank genome assembly